UAUUGGACAAUGGGUGGAACCCUGAUCCAGCGACGCCGCGUGAGUGAAGAAGUAUUUCGGUAUGUAAAGCUCUAUCAGCAGGGAAUAAAGAAAUGACGGUACCUGACUAAGAAGCCCUGGCUAACUACGUGCCAGCAGCCGCGGUAAUACGUAGGGGGCAAGCGUUAUCCGGAGUUACUGGGUGUAAAGGGAGCGUAGACGUCGAUGUAAGUCUGAAGUGAAAGGCGGGGGCCCAACCCCCGGACUGCUUUGGAAACUGUAUGACUGGAGUGCAGGAGAGGUAAGUGGAAUUCCUAGUGUAGCGGUGAAAUGCGUAGAUAUUAGGAGGAACACCAGUGGCGAAGGCGGCUUACUGGACUGUAACUGACGUUGAGGCUCGAAAGCGUGGGGAGCAAACAGG
Molecule: ribosomal RNA, 400 nt
Filed under: uncultured bacterium
Lineage: Bacteria
Description: bacterial SSU rRNA
Rfam family: Bacterial small subunit ribosomal RNA
Source: RNAcentral